This 313-nucleotide ribosomal RNA is filed under the name Azadinium spinosum. RNAcentral's name for it is "partial Bacterial large subunit ribosomal RNA". It matches the Rfam family "Bacterial large subunit ribosomal RNA", at positions 2149 to 2473 of the family's 2925-position model. Lineage: Eukaryota; Dinophyceae; Gonyaulacales; Amphidomataceae. The record is from RNAcentral.
GGGAGACUUAGAAGUGGCGUCGCCAGGCGUUGUGGAGUCACCCUUGAAAUACCGCCCUUGCCACAGGUGAAGUCUAACCCUUCCGGGGGAACAGUGUAUGGUGGGUAGUUUGACUGGGGCGGUCGCCUCCUAAAGAGUAACGGAGGCUCCCAAAGGUACCCUCAGCACGGUUGGCAAUCGUGCGUAGAGUGUAAAAGCAUAAGGGUGCUUGACUGCGAGACAUACAGGUCGAGCAGGCACGAAAGUGGGGUUUAGUGAUCCGGUGGCACCGCAUGGAAGGGCCAUCGCUCAAAGGAUAAAAGGUACUCCGGGG